This 253-nucleotide ribosomal RNA is filed under the name uncultured bacterium. Its description in RNAcentral is "partial 16S ribosomal RNA". It matches the Rfam family "Bacterial small subunit ribosomal RNA", at positions 524 to 776 of the family's 1533-position model. The record is from RNAcentral.
UACGUAGGGGGCUAGCGUUGUCCGGAAUCAUUGGGCGUAAAGAGCGUGUAGGCGGUCCGGUAAGUCCGCUGUGAAAGCCGGGGGCUCAACCCUCGAAUGCCGGUGGAUACUGUCGGGCUAGAGUGCGGAAGAGGCGAGUGGAAUUCCUGGUGUAGCGGUGAAAUGCGCAGAUAUCAGGAGGAACACCUAUUGCGAAGGCAGCUCGCUGGGACGGUACUGACGCUGAGGCGCGAAAGCGUGGGGAGCAAACAGG